This 253-nucleotide ribosomal RNA is filed under the name uncultured bacterium. RNAcentral's name for it is "partial 16S ribosomal RNA". It matches the Rfam family "Bacterial small subunit ribosomal RNA", at positions 524 to 776 of the family's 1533-position model. The record is from RNAcentral.
UACGAAGGGAGCUAGCGUUGUUCGGAAUCACUGGGCGUAAAGCGCACGUAGGCGGAUGUGUCAGUCAGGGGUGAAAUCCCGGAGCUCAACUUCGGAACUGCCUUUGAUACAGCACGUCUUGAGUCCGGAAGAGGUGGGUGGAAUUCCUAGUGUAGAGGUGAAAUUCGUAGAUAUUAGGAAGAACACCGGUGGCGAAGGCGGCCCACUGGUCCGGUACUGACGCUGAGGCGCGAAAGCGUGGGGAGCAAACAGG